RNAcentral lists this long non-coding RNA (1009 nucleotides) under Catharus ustulatus (Swainson's thrush). RNAcentral's name for it is "lncRNA (ENSCUSG00005011719.1)". Lineage: Eukaryota; Metazoa; Chordata; Aves; Passeriformes; Turdidae. The record is from RNAcentral.
CCCGCACUGAGCAGCAAAAUGACUCUUUUUACUGCCCUGCUCUUUUUAAUUGGCUUUCAUUUGUGAUUGCAGGCACAAAUGGCCUGUUCGUGGACAAGGUGUUAGCAGAGCUAUCCCUGGGAUGGAUCAGUGCUGGAUUUUGUUUCACUUUUCACUGUAGUAGAUAUUUCUUCUUUAAAAAAAGGGCUUGAGUCUUCUUUCAUGCGAGGCACAAGGCAGGAUUUGAAAACAGCCUUUAAAGGUCGCGGGAGUGUGCCCAGGAAGGGAAGACGGGCAGAGCAGCCCCCUGACCCCCCCCCAGCUCGGCCCCCAGCGCUCGGCACGCCUGGCCAGACGGCAGACAAUGCGCGCUGCCUGCCACCAGCCCGGCACCAGGCGGCCGGCAGCCGCCGCUGCCCGUCAGCGCCCCGAGAUGUUUGAAGAGCCGUAAAAGGCAGCGCAGGCUGCCGGGGGCUCCGCGCGGGUGUCGCCCCCAGGUGCGGACCCCGGAGGGUGGGAUGGGGAGGCUCCGCGGGGCCGGGCCCGUCCCUCCCCCCGCCCGCAGCGCUCGCCUCGCAGGGAUCGGCGCUGGCCCCGGGGAGGGGCGCAGUCCUGCCGCCCCCCGGCCACCCCCGCUCCUCUGCUGGCAGGACACGGGAGCACUCUGACACAGGAGUACUUGGAAUAGCUGAGCCACCUGCAGUGGGGUGAUUUUCUUUUUAUUUCAAGGUUUUGGGGUUUUGGGGUUUUUUUUUGUUUUGGUUUGGUUUUUGUUUUUGUUUUGUUUUUAACGGGAGGCGGAGGGGACGGAGGGGGGUUAGCAAGACGCUGCCUUCCUUCUCUGUUACUAAAACAAAAGCCAAAUAAAGUGGAAAGGCGGUAAACCUUUCUUUUGUUUGUUUGCUUGUUUGUUUUUAAAACAGACAUAAAAAAAAAAAAAAAUUAAAAAAAAAAAACCCAAGAAACAAAUCCCGGUCAGUAAAACAGGCAGGAAGGCUGAAAUUUUAAACUAAUAACCUCCUUCCCCCGA